GCUGCAACUCGCCUACAUGAAGUCGGAAUUGCUAGUAAUCGCGGAUCAGCGUGCCGCGGUGAAUACGUUCCCGGGCCUUGUACACACCGCCCGUCACACCAUGGGAGUCGGUAACACCCGAAGCCUGUAGUCUAACCGCAAGGGGGACGCAGUCGAAGGUGGGAUUGAUGACUGGGGUGAAGUCGUAACAAGGUAUC
RNAcentral lists this ribosomal RNA (197 nucleotides) under uncultured bacterium. RNAcentral describes it as "partial 16S ribosomal RNA". It matches the Rfam family "Bacterial small subunit ribosomal RNA", at positions 1304 to 1500 of the family's 1533-position model. The record is from RNAcentral.